This 894-nucleotide long non-coding RNA is filed under the name Sorghum bicolor (sorghum). RNAcentral's name for it is "long non-coding RNA (SBIC_LNC000109)". The record is from RNAcentral. Lineage: Eukaryota; Viridiplantae; Streptophyta; Magnoliopsida; Poales; Poaceae.
AAUUCUGGCGUCUUGAUACAUUUUGCUGUAGAGAUUAUUGAGCUAAAUUGCUAAGCUACAAGCAUUCACUGUUCACUGAACCAAAAUUACAUUACUCAAAAACUUAGAACAAGAAUGAGUGCAGCACUCGUUUAUGUGCAACUGGAAACCACAAACUGCAAUUUGUAUGUAAUAAUCGGGUUACAGAGAAACAAACGUUGCCUUGCAGAAUCAAUUAAGAUUAUAAUCUGUCAUUAACCUUGGAAUAAGAAUAAUUCCGUUGCCUUGCAGAAUCAAUUAAGAUUAUAAUCUCUAGUUCGCUGGCUAGAGAACUCUAGGAGCCUAAUUGGUUGCGUGUUCUCACAUAAUAAAAGCUUCCGGGGCCUCUGAGAACGGCAAAGGGAUGUUUUCCUGGUUGUUGUGGGCUACUGCAUCGUUGGAAAAUGUCCUGAUGGGUAUAUCCUUUAAUGAAACUAGAUCACAGAUGUAAACUUCAAUGAAACUAUACCACAGAUUUUUACAUUUGAUACUAAAGCUGUAGUCUGGAGGUAAGUACAGAACGGCAGAUUCAAUAAUUGAUCAAACAGAGCAACUAGCUCCAUUUAAACUAAAAACAGAACCAUAACAACGAAUACUAUAUUACUGCAACUACAUCAUAAGAACAACAAACGAAUUCAUGGAAACAACUUACCUUAGAUUGGAUGCAGGAACAAAUUCUUCCUAACCAUCUACCAUGAAGAAAAACACCCAGCCCUUCAUGGUGCUGCUGCUCUGAAGCCUCGGAGCUCAGAACUGGGCAUAUGCCACCCAUGGCCUGGUAUAUAUAUCCAUAAGAAACCAUAUAUGAAGUGCAGUCUAAGGAUGGGCUGAUGGUUCGCCAGUAGCUUUUGGUUUGUUGGCUGGUUAGUUCAGAGC